AUUGAACGCUGGCGGCAGGCCUAACACAUGCAAGUCGAACGAGGGGCGGACGGGUGAGUAAUGUCUGGCAAACUGCCUGAUGUAGGGUGAUAACUACUGGAAACGGUAGCUAAUACAGCAUACUAUCGGAUGAACCCCGAUGGGAUUAGCUAGUUGGUGGGGUAACGGCUCACCAGGGCGACGAUCCCUAGCUGGUCUGAGAGGAUGACCAGCCACACUGGGACGGAGACACGGUCCAGACUCCUACGGGAGGCAGCAGUGGGUAAUAGGGCACAAUGGGCGGAAGCCUGAUGCAGCCAUGCCGCGUGUAUGAAGAAGGCCUUCGGGUGGUAAAGUACUUUCAGCGGGGAGGCGUUACCCGCAGAAGAAGCACCGGCUAACUCCGUGCCAGCAGCCGCGGUAAUAC
RNAcentral lists this ribosomal RNA (406 nucleotides) under uncultured bacterium. RNAcentral describes it as "partial 16S ribosomal RNA". It matches the Rfam family "Bacterial small subunit ribosomal RNA", at positions 30 to 526 of the family's 1533-position model. The record is from RNAcentral.